RNAcentral lists this ribosomal RNA (442 nucleotides) under uncultured bacterium. Its description in RNAcentral is "bacterial SSU rRNA". It matches the Rfam family "Bacterial small subunit ribosomal RNA", at positions 337 to 796 of the family's 1533-position model. The record is from RNAcentral.
UCCUACGGGAGGCAGCAGUGGGGAAUAUUGCACAAUGGGGGAAACCCUGAUGCAGCAACGCCGCGUGAGUGAUGAAGGUUUUCGGAUCGUAAAGCUCUGUCUUUGGGGAAGAUAAUGACGGUACCCAAGGAGGAAGCCACGGCUAACUACGUGCCAGCAGCCGCGGUAAUACGUAGGUGGCGAGCGUUAUCCGGAUUUACUGGGCGUAAAGGGAGCGUAGGCGGAUGAUUAAGUGGGAUGUGAAAUACCCGAGCUCAACUUGGGUGCUGCAUUCCAAACUGGUUAUCUAGAGUGCAGGAGAGGAGAGUGGAAUUCCUAGUGUAGCGGUGAAAUGCGUAGAUAUUAGGAGGAACACCAGUGGCGAAGGCGGCUUUCUGGACUGCAACUGACACUGAGGCACGAAAGCGUGGGUAGCAAACAGGAUUAGAUACCCUGGUAGUCC